GACGAACGCUGGCGGCGUGCCUAAUACAUGCAAGUAGAACGCUGAAGGAGGAGCUUGCUUCUCUGGAUGAGUUGCGAACGGGUGAGUAACGCGUAGGUAACCUGCCUGGUAGCGGGGGAUAACUAUUGGAAACGAUAGCUAAUACCGCAUAAGAGUAGAUGUUGCAUGACAUUUGCUUAAAAGGUGCAAUUGCAUCACUACCAGAUGGACCUGCGUUGUAUUAGCUAGUUGGUGAGGUAACGGCUCACCAAGGCGACGAUACAUAGCCGACCUGAGAGGGUGAUCGGCCACACUGGGACUGAGACACGGCCCAGACUCCUACGGGAGGCAGCAGUAGGGAAUCUUCGGCAAUGGACGGAAGUCUGACCGAGCAACGCCGCGUGAGUGAAGAAGGUUUUCGGAUCGUAAAGCUCUGUUGUAAGAGAAGAAACGAGUGUGAGAAGUGGAAAG
This 450-nucleotide ribosomal RNA is filed under the name Streptococcus mitis. Its description in RNAcentral is "bacterial SSU rRNA". It matches the Rfam family "Bacterial small subunit ribosomal RNA", at positions 28 to 471 of the family's 1533-position model. The record is from RNAcentral. Lineage: Bacteria; Bacillati; Bacillota; Bacilli; Lactobacillales; Streptococcaceae.